RNAcentral lists this long non-coding RNA (283 nucleotides) under Mytilus galloprovincialis (Mediterranean mussel). Lineage: Eukaryota; Metazoa; Mollusca; Bivalvia; Mytilida; Mytilidae. The record is from RNAcentral.
GUUAAAGGACAAUUUAGACAAUAUAAAAGCAGUGUAAGGGAGGUAAUGCAAUUAAAAUUUAAAGAAUACUGUUAUAUAUAUGAUUGAUUACUUGAUUACCUCCCUUACACUGCUUGUUUUCAAAAGUUUCAAGAAGAAAUUUUCCAUUGCACAGUAUUGUGCAAUAGAUUUGUUAGAUCUUUGACCAUAUUUAUUUUGUGACAAAAACCUAUAUUAUGUCAAAAAUUUGAUAUCAAUCCAAAUUCAGACAGUAUCAAGCUUUAAUUUUGUGACCAAAUUUGCC